Regulatory RNA element from Roseovarius nubinhibens ISM, 48 nucleotides. It matches the Rfam family "SAM/SAH riboswitch aptamer". The record is from Rfam. Lineage: Bacteria; Pseudomonadati; Pseudomonadota; Alphaproteobacteria; Rhodobacterales; Roseobacteraceae.
UCCCCGUCACAACGGCUUCCUGGCGUGGCGGAUGACCCUAAUGGAGCG